Molecule: non-coding RNA, 295 nt
Organism: Pelobates cultripes (western spadefoot toad)
Lineage: Eukaryota; Metazoa; Chordata; Amphibia; Anura; Pelobatidae
Source: the annotation of a GenBank genome assembly
GUUCGUUUUGUGUGUGUUAGUGUUAGUUUUUGUGUUAGUGUGUGUUAGUGUUAGAAUGUGUGUGUGUGUGUUAGUGUUAGUUUUUGUGUUAGCGUGUGUGUGUUAGUGUUAGAGUGUGUGUGUGUUAGUGUGUGUGUGUGUUAGUUUUUGUGUCAGUGUGUGUUUUUGUGUAUGUGUUAGUGUUAGAGUGUGUGUGUUAGUGUUAGUUUUUGUGUUAGUGUGUGUUACUGCGUGUGUGUUACUGAGUGUGUUAGUUUGUGUGCGUCUGUUAGUGAGUCUGGUGUCUGUUAGUGAG